GGUGCCUCUAGGACCAAAAGCGGAAGGAAAGGCGUUUACCUUGCCUCGGAUCGGCGUUGAUUGUCACCCGGGAGGACCAAUAGGAGGCCCGGUCUGCCUUUCCCACUAUCGGCCACGCCUUCUGCUUUGAAAAUCCUUGCUUCGCCCCUCAGGCCCCGCCUACUGAGGCGGCGGCGUGGUCUUGGACGGAGUCGAGGGCCUCGCUACACGGGGCGAGGUGGGCCGGGCCUGGUGGAGCAAGCUAGUUGAGGCCGCGGCCGCGUCCUCGUCCCCUCCGGGGGCGGCUCGGCCUCGCGGAGGCGCGUCUAUCCCGGCGGGCCCUCGGCCUCACCGGAUGACCGCCUGAGGGCCGUAAGAGACUUUUUGCAGACGGGGAAUCUGAGGCAGGCCUUUGCGCCCUGUGUUUCCUCACCUGUAAAACGAGGGGGUCGGAUUGGUCGCCCAGUGUAGGAUCGAGGCCCGACUCUUCCAUCAGGCCACACCGGGAGCGAGGGAGCGAGCCGGGCUGCUCCCGUUUUAUGGAUGGGGGAGCGGAGUGGUGGUGCUGGGGCCGCAGACUCUGGCUUGCCGUUUCUGGUCUCGAGUCCCAAGAAGGCGCCCCUUCCUUCAGCUGCGUGGCAGCUUUCUAGCUGCUUAGACAACGCGUGUGGGUUGAAAGACUCGAACUCUUCCUCUCAGUCUUUCCUUCCUGCCUCAGACAAGCCUUGAUCGCCAGUGACUUCAGUGUGGAGCCUGAGCUGAUGCACAAAACGCCAUCUCAGAGGGACCGCUGGAGGAAGAAACAGUUUUCCUCCAUGCAGGAUGAGAACAAGCACCCAACCAGGAAAAGGUUGUCCCGCCGUGAGAAACUAAGGAGCCGUCGACACAACCACCAGCUACUUCGGAGUAAAGAUAAGCCGGAGAAGUUGGUUCUGGUGGCAGCUGACAAUAGCUCCGUCCCUCGUGGUACUUGAACCCAAGCAGGAGCAGCCUCCUCGCCCCCUGAAUCACCCACGGUGCUCCCCAAAAUGCCUGUGAACCUGGCAGCAGUGGAUGGGCUUGUGCCCAUUAUAUAGAUCAGCGUCAGCAAGAAGCAGAGUGCUGAAAAUUACCUGGUGGCAAAUAAGACCAAGACAGCUGUCCUCAGCU
Molecule: long non-coding RNA, 1128 nt
Filed under: Phascolarctos cinereus (koala)
Lineage: Eukaryota; Metazoa; Chordata; Mammalia; Diprotodontia; Phascolarctidae
Description: lncRNA (ENSPCIG00000004882.2)
Source: RNAcentral